This is a long non-coding RNA of Aegilops tauschii subsp. strangulata, 622 nucleotides long. RefSeq lists it as uncharacterized. The record is from RefSeq and is a predicted model, not a curated record. NCBI's taxonomy places the organism in Eukaryota, Viridiplantae, Streptophyta, Magnoliopsida, Poales, Poaceae.
CCUCGACCUGGUGGCUCGAGUCCUCUGCUCGUACAGAAAUGAAUGCCCACGCUCCUCCUCUGCUCUCGCAACCCUAGCCACCGCCCCGUCGCCGGCGUGCCUCCGCGCCGUCGCGCCGCCGUCCGCCGCCGCCCCUCGGAUCUACGCAUCGCCCCGCAACUCUCCGUCCAUCGCCGCUCGCAGCAGCCGCCCAACGUCCCCGUGAUGUCGUCUCCCCAUCUGCCGCCACUCCUUCCGUUGGUCGCCGCCGGCAGCCGCACCAAGUAGAGCUCCUGGACGGGCCUGGCCGCAAGAUCCGCGGCAGAGAAGUCGUUCCCCCAGCUCAAGUGCAGUCUGUAGUGCUAUGAAUUGAUUUCAGAUCAAGUCAAGAAUUUCCCUGCAGUCUGUAGUGCUACGAACUACUCUUGGAGGAGCCUGCAGCAAGAUCCACGUCAGAGAAGCUGUUCCCCCAUCUCAUUGAGCAGCCCCCUCCCCCUCUUGUACCACUCUGUUUCAGCCUGAAUUUGUGCCUACUGUAUGUGGCCAGCCCCAAUUGUUGUGAGAUGGUACACUUCUUGCUGCUACUGUAUGAAUUGGUUUGUACAGUUCUAGUCAGAUCAAUAAUUUUAUUAUGUUGGUAGUA